Molecule: small nuclear RNA, 82 nt
Filed under: Homo sapiens (human)
Lineage: Eukaryota; Metazoa; Chordata; Mammalia; Primates; Hominidae
Description: partial ncRNA
Source: RNAcentral
ACAGGAGAAUCGUUUGAACCCAGGAGGUGGAGGUUGCUGUGAGCCGAGAUUGCACCACUGCACUCCAGCCUGGGUGACAGAG